UAAACUACGAUUAGAUACCCUAUUAUUUUAAAUGUAAAUUUAAAAGACUUGAGUAGUAAUAGUUAUGUUCUUGAAACUCAAAGAAUUUGGCGGUGUUUUAGUCUUUUCAGAGGAACCUGUCCCGUAAUCGAUAAUCCACGUUAAACCUUACUUAUCUUUGUUAUCAGCUUGUAUACCGCCGUCGUCAGAAUGUCCUAAGAAGGUUUUAAUUUUCUUAAAUUUUUAUUAAAAAUGAUGUCAGGUCAAGGUGUAGCUUAUGGAUAAGUGGAGAUGGGUUACAAUAAAUAUAUUUAUAAUGAAUAAAGUCUUGAAAUAGGCUUUUGAAGGUGGAUUUGAUGGUAAUUAAAUUAAUUAAGUUAGUUUGAUUUUAGCUCUAAAACAUGCACACAUCGCCCGUCGCUCUUA
RNAcentral lists this ribosomal RNA (405 nucleotides) under Shipsa rotunda. Its description in RNAcentral is "partial 12S ribosomal RNA". The stretch from base 51 to 405 matches the Rfam family "Microsporidia small subunit ribosomal RNA", at positions 752 to 1207 of the family's 1311-position model. The record is from RNAcentral. Lineage: Eukaryota; Metazoa; Arthropoda; Insecta; Plecoptera; Nemouridae.